GGGUAUGUAUCCAGACACCAAGGAUUCGUUAAUUAGAGUUGAGACGGGUUUAGCAAUUGCCGGCGCACUGAGCUUCAACAGCAUUGCUGGGAUUUGAUCAGUUCCGGACUGGUUUUUCAUUUUUAGAUUAUUAAGAUGUCUGUAUGUAUGAAUGUAUGUGUGUAUGUGUGUAUGUAUGUAUGUUAGUAUGUGUCUGUCUGUCACUAUGUAUG
Non-coding RNA from Pelobates cultripes (western spadefoot toad), 212 nucleotides. The record is from the annotation of a GenBank genome assembly. NCBI's taxonomy places the organism in Eukaryota, Metazoa, Chordata, Amphibia, Anura, Pelobatidae.